RNAcentral lists this ribosomal RNA (467 nucleotides) under uncultured bacterium. Its description in RNAcentral is "partial 16S ribosomal RNA". It matches the Rfam family "Bacterial small subunit ribosomal RNA", at positions 28 to 507 of the family's 1533-position model. The record is from RNAcentral.
GAUGAACGCUGGCGGCGUGCUUAACACAUGCAGGUCGAACGAUGAUGCCCAGCUUGCUGGGUGGAUUAGUGGCGAACGGGUGAGUAACACGUGAGUAACCUGCCCUUGACUCUGGGAUAAGCCUGGUAAACUGGGUCUAAUACCGGAUACGACCAUCUGGCGCAUGUCAUGGUGGUGGAAAGCUUUUGUGGUUUUGGAUGGACGCGCGGCCUAUCAGCUUGUUGGUGGGGUAAUGGCCUACCAAGGCGACGACGGGUAGCCGGCCUGAGAGGGUGACCGGCCACACUGGGACUGAGACACGGCCCAGACUCCUACGGGAGGCAGCAGUGGGGAAUAUUGCACAAUGGGCGCAAGCCUGAUGCAGCGACGCCGCGUGAGGGAUGACGGCCUUCGGGUUGUAAACCUCUUUCAGUAGGGAAGAAGCGAAAGUGACGGUACCUGCAGAAGAAGCGCCGGCUAACUACGUG